AAACAGAGAGACACAAUUCAGCAGCCGCACAUAGAUAAUAUUGGACGCAUCAACAGGAGACGACAUCAGACGGACGAAGACAACAUUGAGGGACAGUUCGGGUUGCUAGGAAUCGUCGGGUAACAUUCAGGAGCGUUCGGAAGUGAAGUCUACGGGUUCUAUCUCUUAGAUUCUUCGUUUUUCGUUUGAUUCUUAUUGUUGCAUGAUGAAUUCAGAUUUGAUUAUGUUUGAUACUUUGUUUCUGAUCAUGUUUCUUGGCUAAACUUCAUAAACUACCUAGGCUAAUGACAAUAGCUAAAUAAAGUUUGAAUCUUUAUUCGAUU
This is a long non-coding RNA of Helianthus annuus (common sunflower), 323 nucleotides long. RefSeq lists it as uncharacterized. The transcript is spliced from 2 exons. The record is from RefSeq and is a predicted model, not a curated record. Lineage: Eukaryota; Viridiplantae; Streptophyta; Magnoliopsida; Asterales; Asteraceae.